Long non-coding RNA from Melitaea cinxia (Glanville fritillary), 102 nucleotides. RefSeq lists it as uncharacterized. The record is from RefSeq and is a predicted model, not a curated record. The transcript has 5 exons. NCBI's taxonomy places the organism in Eukaryota, Metazoa, Arthropoda, Insecta, Lepidoptera, Nymphalidae.
GGGCAGCAUAGCCAGCAGCAGUAGUCCACCUCACCAGCAGUCGUCAUCAACAACAUCGGCAGCCGUUUUAUUAAAGAAAAAAUAAAAACAAGAAUAAUCAUU